AUGUACAUUCUUACAAAAUAGUGUUAAUGCACCAUAUUCCAUUAGAACUUCAUAGUUAAACGAACUCGAGGUAGAGUAGUACUAGGAUGGAUGACCAACUAGGAAGUCCUAGUAUUUUACAUG
This is a non-coding RNA of Picea glauca (white spruce), 123 nucleotides long. NCBI's taxonomy places the organism in Eukaryota, Viridiplantae, Streptophyta, Pinopsida, Pinales, Pinaceae. The record is from Rfam.